GACGAACGCUGGCGGCGUGCUUAACACAUGCAAGUCGAACGAAGUGGCGGACGGGUGAGUAACGCUUAAGCAACCUGCCCUUCAGAGGGGGACAACAGUUGGAAACGACUGCUAUAACCGCUACCGGAAGAAGGGGGUUGCGUCGGAUUGGCUAGUUGGAGGGGUAACGGCCCACCAAGGCGAUGAUCAGUAGCCGGGCUGAGAGGAUGAACGGCCACAUUGGGACUGAGACACGGCCCAGACUCCUACGGGAGGCAGCAGUGGGGAAUCUUCAGCAAUGGACGAAAGUCUGACGGAGCAACGCCGCGUGAGUGAUGACGGCCUUCGGGUUGUAAAGCUCUGUUAUUCGGGACGCGGUACCGGAAUAGAAAGCCACGGCUAACUACGUGCCAGCAGCCGCGGUAAUUC
This 408-nucleotide ribosomal RNA is filed under the name uncultured bacterium. RNAcentral describes it as "partial 16S ribosomal RNA". It matches the Rfam family "Bacterial small subunit ribosomal RNA", at positions 28 to 526 of the family's 1533-position model. The record is from RNAcentral.